This 34-nucleotide non-coding RNA is filed under the name Mus musculus (house mouse). Lineage: Eukaryota; Metazoa; Chordata; Mammalia; Rodentia; Muridae. The record is from RNAcentral.
UGGGACUAAAGGAGUGUGUAACCACACUCAGCAA